UACGGAGGGUGCGAGCGUUGUUCGGAAUCACUGGGCGUAAAGGGCGCGUAGGCUGUCCGCUAAGUCUGAUUUGAAAGCCCGGGGCUCACCCCCGGAAGGGCAUUGGAAACUGGCGGACUCGAGUCCCGGAGAGGAAGGUGGAAUUCCUGGUGUAGCGGUGAAAUGCGUAGAUAUCAGGAGGAAUACCGGUGGCGAAGGCGGGCUUCUGGACGGUGACUGACGCUGAGACGCGAAAGCGUGGGGAGCAAACAGG
Molecule: ribosomal RNA, 253 nt
Filed under: uncultured bacterium
Lineage: Bacteria
Description: partial 16S ribosomal RNA
Rfam family: Bacterial small subunit ribosomal RNA
Source: RNAcentral